RNAcentral lists this small RNA (131 nucleotides) under Vibrio stylophorae. RNAcentral's name for it is "RtT". It matches the Rfam family "RtT RNA". Rfam says of the family: This family represents a bacterial cis-regulatory element known as RtT RNA. The exact function of RtT is unknown although it is thought that it may be involved in changing the cellular response in relation to amino acid starvation. The record is from RNAcentral. Lineage: Bacteria; Pseudomonadati; Pseudomonadota; Gammaproteobacteria; Vibrionales; Vibrionaceae.
AACGCGCUGUUAGAUAUAGGGUGUGAACCCUAGCUAGGGUUCAGCCGAGCGAAGCGAGACAACAACGGCUCUGCCGUUGGCCCGAAGGGAGAGGGCGCGUAGCGACCGAAUCAAUCCCUAUUGCUCCGCCA